AGAGCGAACGCUGGCGGUAGGCCUAACACAUGCAAGUCGAACGGCAGCACAGUGGUAGCAAUACCAUGGGUGGCGAGUGGCGGACGGGUGAGGAAUACAUCGGAAUCUACCUUUUCGUGGGGGAUAACGUAGGGAAACUUACGCUAAUACCGCAUACGCCCUUCGGGGGAAAGCCGGGGAUCGCAAGACCUGGCGCGGAUAGAUGAGCCGAUGUCGGAUUAGCUAGUUGGUGAGGUAAUGGCUCACCAAGGCGACGAUCCGUAGCUGGUCUGAGAGGAUGAUCAGCCACACUGGAACUGAGACACGGUCCAGACUCCUACGGGAGCAGCAGUGGGGAAUAUUGGACAAGU
This 350-nucleotide ribosomal RNA is filed under the name uncultured soil bacterium. RNAcentral describes it as "bacterial SSU rRNA". It matches the Rfam family "Bacterial small subunit ribosomal RNA", at positions 26 to 373 of the family's 1533-position model. The record is from RNAcentral.